Molecule: ribosomal RNA, 755 nt
Filed under: Gotra sp. 2 BFS-2018
Lineage: Eukaryota; Metazoa; Arthropoda; Insecta; Hymenoptera; Ichneumonidae
Description: SSU rRNA
Rfam family: Eukaryotic small subunit ribosomal RNA
Source: RNAcentral
UCAUCYRAGGCCCCGUAAUCGGAAUGAGUACACUUUAAAUCCUUUAAMGARGAUCCAUUGGAGGGCAAGUCUGGUGCCAGCAGCCGCGGUAAUUCCAGCUCCAAUAGCGUAUAUUAAAGUUGUUGCGGUUAAAAAGCUCGUAGUUGAAUCUGUGUGUCACGAUGCUGGUUCACCGCUCGCGGUGUUUAACUAGCAUGCCGUGAGACGUCCUACCGGUGGGCUUAGCUCUUCACGGGGCGGUCCAACUAAUAUCCCAUCGCGGUGCUCUUCAUCGAGUGUCGAGGUGGGCCGGUACGUUUACUUUGAACAAAUUAGAGUGCUUAAAGCAGGCUAUCUUCGCCUGAAUACUGUGUGCAUGGAAUAAUGGAAUAGGACCUCGGUUCUAUUUUGUUGGUUUUCGGAACCCCGAGGUAAUGAUUAAUAGGGACAGAUGGGGGCAUUCGUAUUGCGACGUUAGAGGUGAAAUUCUUGGAUCGUCGCAAGACGGACAGAAGCGAAAGCAUUUGCCAAAAAUGUUUUCAUUAAUCAAGAACGAAAGUUAGAGGUUCGAAGGCGAUCAGAUACCGCCCUAGUUCUAACCAUAAACGAUGCCAGCUAGCGAUCCGCCGAAGUUCCUCCGAUGACUCGGCGGGCAGCUUCCGGGAAACCAAAGCUUUUGGGUUCCGGGGGAAGUAUGGUUGCAAAGCUGAAACUUAAAGGAAUUGACGGAAGGGCACCACCAGGAGUGGAGCCUGCGGCUUAAUUUGACUCAACAC